Molecule: long non-coding RNA, 748 nt
Organism: Myzus persicae (green peach aphid)
Lineage: Eukaryota; Metazoa; Arthropoda; Insecta; Hemiptera; Aphididae
Exons: 2
Source: RefSeq, a predicted model, not a curated record
AAAACUAAAUAUAAGAUAUCCCGUGCGCACGAGCAUGCCAUCGGGCGCGUCCCCGGGUUGCGGAUAGGGGAACCCUCUGAGGAUAUACUCUCAGGGUAGCCGUGAAAUAAGUCAUACCUUCGGGAUGGACGAAUAAGCGGCCGCGGACAAGCUCACCACCGCCGGGGAGCCGAUCGACCCCCGGUGUCCCGAUACAUCACAAGCAGACAGACGAAGCGAAGCUGGCGUCGUCGGUGGAGGCCAAGCCGACUUAAAAGACGAAAAUGGACUAUAAAAUGCGUGAGUUAAUUCUCAUCCGGGAGUGCAUUAAGACCAGGAGACAGCGGCUGGGGGUGGCUGGCGCAAGGAGUUGUGAUCGCGGUCAGCCAAAUCCCAGUAAGAGCAGAGGCGGUCAGCUAGGCCUUUGCUCGUGAUCAUGGAUAACGAAGGAUUGAUUUUAAUUUGAGCAAUUAUUUGUGAAUAAAAUAUAAUGAAGCCAAUGGCCCGUCGCCGAAGCUAAAAAUCUAUUUAAAAAAAAAAAAUAACAACAAUACAAAUUUUAUGAAAAAGACCUAUAACCUAUAUUAUCUAUUUUUCGGACCUAUAACGUCUUUUAAAAUUCUAAAUUUAUUCAAUUUUUUGUAUUUUUCAAUAACACAAAUAUACAUUAUACACUGACACAUUGUUAUGCCUAUGAUUAAUUACUGAUGUAUGUAUAUAAUAUAGUGAAGCCCAUUGCCAAAGCUAUAAAAAUCAAUUUAAAAAAAAA